UGGCUCACCAAAGGCUACGAUCCGUAACUUGGUCUGAGAGGAUGAUCAAGUCACACUGGAACUUGAGACACGGUCCAAGACUCCCUACGGGAGGCAGCAGUGGGGAAUAUUGGACAAUGGGCGAAAGCCUUGAUCCAGCCAUGCCGCGUGUGUGAAGAAGGUCUUCGGAUUGUAAAGCACUUUAAGUUGGGAGGAAGGGUACUUACCUAAUACGUGAGUAUUUUGACGUUACCGACAGAAUAAGCACCGGCUAACUCUGUGCCAGCAGCCGCGGUAAUACAGAGGGUGCAAGCGUUAAUCGGAAUUACUGGGCGUAAAGCGCGCGUAGGUGGUUUGUUAAGUUGGAUGUGAAAGCCCCGGGCUCAACCUGGGAACUGCAUCCAAAACUGGCAAGCUAGAGUAUGGUAGAGGGUGGUGGAAUUUCCUGUGUAGCGGUGAAAUGCGUAGAUAUAGGAAGGAACACCAGUGCGAAGGCGACCACCUGGACUGAUACUACACUGAGGUCGAA
Molecule: ribosomal RNA, 508 nt
Filed under: Pseudomonas sp. Z64
Lineage: Bacteria; Pseudomonadati; Pseudomonadota; Gammaproteobacteria; Pseudomonadales; Pseudomonadaceae
Description: bacterial SSU rRNA
Rfam family: Bacterial small subunit ribosomal RNA
Source: RNAcentral